CCAAGAGAUGCAGUUACAUAAAAACCCUAAGGCAUGACUUUUAAUCUUGCUUAAUAGUCAAGGAAGGGAUUUCACUGAUUAUUAUUAAUAUUCCUUGAAAAACAUAAUGUUUUGUUUGGGCCAAGAGCAUUUUAUAGAUUCAUUGUGUACCAUAAACACUCUGGAAAUGUUCAAAUUAGUUUAGACCUUUUAUCAAUGAGGUUAAGAUUGCUGUUAAAGCCAACAUUUAUAACAAACGUAGCAGGAUCACAUUAAGAAGGCAUCUGAAGACUCUGCCUGUGUGAAAAGCACAGAAGGUUAUGGGAGUAAGAAAGUUCACAUGCUGUGAACUCUGAAACUAUGUUUCAAGGGACAUACAGCACCAAUUUCAGUUCGAAAGGAUCCAGAAGUUACUGAUAUUUACUCAUUUCCAUUACAUAAUGAACAAAUUGUUUCAUUCUCUGUGAAAGCUGCCUCCUAAGUUGUAUGAGUCUGAAGUGUCCCCCAGCCACAGCUCUCCAUGUGUACCCACUCAAGGGACUCCACCUACAGCCUUUGCGGUGACACAAGGCUUCCGGGGACUUAGGCCGUGGGUGCAGGUGGGAUACCGUAAUCCUCCGCAUUGUCCUGGUGUGUCCAUACCCACGGCAUCGCCCUGGCAAGGAAGAUGUUUUACUCAAUGAAUAUUUUGGAAGGAAAACCUCUCAUAUGGAAAGUCAGGACUGAAGAAUAACACAAUAAAAAAAUACUCCUUCAGUGACCAAAGUGAUUCUAUUACCAGGUGAUCAGCACAAGUGUCAGGGUGUCCCUGUCCUCUAAAAAAACCAAAUCCCCUUAGAUCUCCUUGUCACUUUGUUAAUUUUCUCCCUCAACUAAUCUGAAGCAAACUGCUUGGGCCAAAUGGGCCUGUGACAAAGGACAAAGGCGGUUUGAUACUUUUAAAGGCCAAGGAGCCCCUGUGGACUGCAGAAACGACCAAAUAAGCUUACAAGGUGUGAUCAGAAAUACAGGGGAUAUUGAAGUUUUUUAAAAAUGUAUUAUAAGGCUAGGGAUUUAGCUCAGUGAUUCCGCUGCCUGCUUUGCAAGCACAAGGGCCUGAGUUCAAUCCCUG
This 1090-nucleotide long non-coding RNA is filed under the name Fukomys damarensis (Damara mole-rat). Its description in RNAcentral is "lncRNA (ENSFDAG00000032074.1)". Lineage: Eukaryota; Metazoa; Chordata; Mammalia; Rodentia; Bathyergidae. The record is from RNAcentral.